Molecule: long non-coding RNA, 1315 nt
Organism: Perca fluviatilis (European perch)
Lineage: Eukaryota; Metazoa; Chordata; Actinopteri; Perciformes; Percidae
Exons: 4
Source: RefSeq, a predicted model, not a curated record
AGACAGCUAGCUAGACAAUCAGUUUUCUCUUGCACAACUAUUUUACAGCGGCUCCUUUGCGGAGGUUAGUGCUGCCCAUGACAAUUGUGAUUGGUUUAAAGUAUAGUGGACUGGCCAGACCCUCCUCCGUGCUGUUGUGUGUGUGUGUGUGUGUGGACUGUCUGGCAAAGCGAGACUAAUGCAAGUGUAACCCACAUUUUCAGGCCCCUACUGCACCAGCGGUUCUUUACCAAUGUUGUGUUUACUGGGUUGGGUUGCAUCAGAAAAGAGAGCCUUGCCAGAAAUCUCUUGACGGGACAGAUGAAGAGGCUGGUCCUCGUUAAUUUUUAAUAGAACUCCCAGCUGACUCUUGGAUAUGGGAUGGUGACGUGUCUUCUAAACGGCUGCUGCAAAGAGGACACUAACAAACGGCUUACACAAUUGAAGGACACCGAUGAUUUCCGCGAUGACAUCAUCCACACCAUAAACACACAGGAAAUGCUGGGCGGCUCCUCCCCAAACAUUCCUGAAUGUUGGACCAAACCAUGGAACAAACCAAAGAAAUAAAAAUCUUCUCUGAUGCAAGAACUACAAGAUUUAUUGGAGUAAAAGGGUGGUUUUAAUUGACUCUACCAUGACGAUUCUGCUGAGGCCAAAACCUGCGAGGGAUCUCUGAUUUCCAUCUAUGCAGUUGCGGCAGAUAUGGAGGAAAACAGUUUGGGCAGUGGCCCGUUCUCUUGGGGAAAAAUGGAACCAGAGGGCAGAGAGCUGCUGAAUGACCCAUAUUGCCACAGGUAUGGCAUGGCCGCCCACUUGCAUGAACAACAGUUCAAUCGGACUGGGACUCCCCGUGUUUGAAACCUUUGAGUGAAAAACAGCCAUACUUUAAACCUUUUAGCUUUUAAAAUGUGUAACCGUGUUUAAGCAAGCUAUUGGCCAACAACAGGUUCACGUUACCUGAUGCCAGUAUAAGUACAUGAGUACAGUAUCAGACCCGAUACCUGAUAUCUGUGCACCCCUAAUCUGUGUGGUAUUAUGAGUUUAUUGGGUUAUAUAAUCGUAUGUGGAAAGUGUGGUCUCAUGACUACAUUACUAAAAGGUCUUAUCUUAUUUCCUGUUAUUCAGUCAGGAUCUUCGAUCCAUAACUUAUUUACAGUGAAUCCUGUUAUCAGUCAAUGCAUUCGUUGUCUGGGAAAACAGAGAGGUCAAUGGCCUUAUGUGGUAAAGAUAUGGGAUGGGAUAAGCGUCCAUCCUCUGCGUAUGAAACAAAUGAAUGCCUGAGAGAGGUUUAGUGGUUUUCUGCAGAAAAUACUCAGGUCUUUUGAUUGAAUAAAGA